CUGUCCAGCAGUUGUUGCGGUCCCCAAAGCACCGAUGCUUUGGACCUGGGCUACCCCUUGCCGAUGUACGACAGUAGCAGCGGUGGCGCUGGCGGCGGCAGCAGUAGCGGCGGCGGAUGUAGCGUCCCGCGCGCCGCCGCUGCAGCCAAAACCAUGUAUAGCCCGGGGCGUAACAACCCUCCCACAGUGUUAGCAAUUACCGCGACCGUGCAGGCAGCGCUAGGCCGUCGCUACCACGCAGGCGUGGAUUGGCACCGGCAUACCGAGGACAGCAGCAGCAUGGAUGCCAGCAGCGACAGCCGGAGCAGGAGCAGCGCAUGUUUUAGCAACACUGGUGGCAAUACCAACAGCAGAAGCAGCACCAUGGUGCGGGUGGUGUGCCCCAAGGGGCCAGAUCUGAACAUCACCCUGCUCCCAAGCCCGCGAACACAAAGCCCCCCGGGUCCCGUGUUCCCCGUCCCGAUGAUCAUCACAGAGCAGGACCUUCCGGAACCUGCCUGGUCCACGAUGCAUGCCCACGGGAAUGCCUGCAACGGUAGCAGCGAAACGCACCCUAGCAGCAGCAGCGGCGGCGGUGAUCUGGCCAUCGGCUGCACCAGCGCCGUUAGCGGUGUUAUGGUCAGCAGCCGUGCGCCAGUGCGCGCGGUUGAGGAGAACGUCGGUGAGAAAGCGGACAAGGCGGUUCCGCAGGUGGAGCGCGG
RNAcentral lists this long non-coding RNA (701 nucleotides) under Volvox carteri. RNAcentral describes it as "long non-coding RNA (VCAR_LNC000047)". The record is from RNAcentral. Lineage: Eukaryota; Viridiplantae; Chlorophyta; Chlorophyceae; Chlamydomonadales; Volvocaceae.